GGCAAUCUGGCCGAGUGGUUAAGGCGAAGCACUCGAAUUAACUUUAUUUGAUAUGCUUUGGGCUCUGCCCGCGCAGGUUCGAAUCCUGCGGUUGUCG
Molecule: transfer RNA, 97 nt
Organism: Nadsonia fulvescens var. elongata DSM 6958
Lineage: Eukaryota; Fungi; Ascomycota; Dipodascomycetes; Dipodascales
Rfam family: tRNA
About the family: Transfer RNA (tRNA) molecules are approximately 80 nucleotides in length.
Source: Rfam